Molecule: RNA transcript, 1329 nt
Organism: Rosa chinensis
Lineage: Eukaryota; Viridiplantae; Streptophyta; Magnoliopsida; Rosales; Rosaceae
Exons: 6
Source: RefSeq, a predicted model, not a curated record
UCUCUCUCUCUCUCUCUCUCUCUCACACACACACACACACACAAACGCCAGACCUUCAAGAAACCACCCAUUUAUUGAUCGUGAACAAGAAACCGCAAAGAACGAAGAGUACCGCAACCUCAAGAAAGAGCUCCAUCAAUCCACAGAGCCUGAUCCUCUUGCUCCUCAGAUGCUCCCUCACUACCUCUAUUUUUAGAUCUUCGAUCUGUCUCCUUAGCGCCUUCUCCUUCUCCUGAAUCACAAAACCAUCAACUCCGGUCAUCAAUUACAGAAACGGAUCGAAAAUCGGAGAAAGCGAGUUGAGCGAGUUACAGUACCGUGGUAGCGUCGCGGUGGUCGAGCGAAUGGCGGACGACAGUUUAAGCCGAGAGAGAAGAAAAGCGACUUUGAUCGAGCGAAUUACGGUUCUCGAUUGCAGAGCUUCGGCACGGCUAAGGUCCACCAGCUGUCUCGUACAUCACCAAUCUCGCUCUCUCUGCGACCCCUUCCAAGUCGCCGAUGGUAAAAUUGUGAUUGAUGGAACACUAUGUGGAAGACGCUAAUGGCUUUGGUGGUGAGGAGGAGGAGUUCUCAGUUUUGAGUGGUGGGACCGUCUACAUUGAGAGUAUGAGUGGUCCUCUCGCCAAUGUCGGUCUCUUCCAGUCUUCUAUUCUCCAAGAGCUUCAGGGUUUGGAGCUGGAGUUGGCUUCAGGUUCAUCGCAACUUAUUCAAAGAGGCUGUUCUCGUGCAAAAGAAUAUGGAUCACUGAGGGUUCAGAGGCUAUGUUCUGUCAUUUAUGAAACCAAUAUGGACUGAUCUAGUUUUCUUUCCUUGUCGUUGUUUAGCAUUGAAGAGCUAGAGAAGCCAGUACCAGCUUUUAUGAGGUUUCAGAGCCUUCUUCAGUGUACAGUCAAAGACAAAUGACACUAAAAAGAAAGAGUACAAGGAAGCAAAAUGAUGUACCAUUUAGUUGCCCUUUUUCUGUAUUGCAAUAUUGAAAUCAAUGUUAUAUAUGGUACUUAAUGAGUUUGCUCUAUUCGUGUUUUCAGAUUUGGUCAAUAACCUUGGUGCCAUUGCAAGGUCUAGCACCAAGGAAUUCAUGGAAGUUUAGGCUGCUGGAGCUGAUGUUAGCAUGACUAGUCAGUUUGGUGUCGGGUUCUACUUUGGAUAUAUUGUUGCUGAGAAGGAAGAGGAAGGAAAGGUAUAGAGUUCGGAAGUUGAUGAAGACAAGGAAAUGGACUAGUACAAUAUGUUUCUGGCCUUGAUGUUUUUGGGCUUUAUGUUUAGGUAGGGUUAGUAUGUUAAUGUUGGGGUGAUGAUGGAAUGAAUUGUUUUUGAAUGUUUAAUCAA